This 2091-nucleotide long non-coding RNA is filed under the name Capsella rubella. RNAcentral describes it as "long non-coding RNA (CRUB_LNC003362)". Lineage: Eukaryota; Viridiplantae; Streptophyta; Magnoliopsida; Brassicales; Brassicaceae. The record is from RNAcentral.
GCAGGAUGCUGCACCGGCGUUAGAAACCUUAACAACAUGGCCCGUACCACCCCAGACCGUCAGCAAGCUUGCACUUGCCUUCAAAAUACCGCUAGAAGCCUAGGGGCUGGUCUCAAUGCUGGCCGUGCAGCUGGAAUCCCUAAGGCAUGUGGAGUCAACAUUCCUUACAAGAUCAGCACCAGCACCAACUGCAAGACGUAUGUUUUUCUCUCUCUCAUGCAGCCUCUCUUUUAUAUUUUACACAGUACUAUACUACGUAACAUUAGAGUGGUUUUACAGAAAAAAAACAAUAUGUGUUAGUAUAUUUAACUUGGUUUUGGGUUGGAUAUUAACGGUAUGUUGUGUGAAUUUGUAUUUGGCUGCAGCGUGAGGUGAUGAGCGACGGUCAGAUAAAGCUACAAGCGGACGUUUCGAAUAUUAUAUAAUGGGAUGAGAUAAUUAAUACUAAAUAAGAUGUUCGAAUGGCUGUUUCUAGAGUUUUUAAUUUCCUGUCUUUUUCUUCUAUCGUGAUGUUCCCCUAUUAUGUACUCGGUCUGUGUACUAUGUUCGCAAACAACUUUAUAUGAAUUUCAGACUUGAAGUUUACGUUGCUCUACAUUCUCACUUAAGCUAUACGUACUUAGUUAGUUCAAUCGAUAUGGAUAGCUUUAUUAUCUUGCAUUACACUGUGAAGUGUUCAUUAGUAUGACAACACUUCAUAUUGUUUUCAAUUAAAAAAUAUUACACACUAAUCUUCGGACUAGCUAGUGAUCCAUAAAGUCGGAUAUUAAUGGGAAGUGAUGGAUAGUUUAUAAUAGGAAACGUACGUGUAACCGAACAUGCUCCGAAGUUUUUCACGAUGACUAUUAUUAUUGAUGAGCUUUUAAGAAAAUUUUAAGUUAAGAAACGUUAAGACAUUUUUUAUAUAAUUUUUUCUUUUUCAUAUUUUUUAGCUUAAAAUUUCUUAAGAGUUCAUCAAUAAUGAUGAUCUUGGUAUUCUCUUAACAACCGUUGUCUAUUUGAUGUAUGAAAAAAACAUUUAAUUAUAUAUAAUAUAUUUUUGGAAAAAUAAAGUUAACUUAUAAAGAUAAACAGAUGUUAAGAUAGAAUAGAGAGUAUAGACGCUAUUACAAUGACAAUAACAUUUCAAUGUAAAUUAAAGUAAUUUUUCUACCCAACACAUCUAUCUAUAUAUAGUUUUAAGAGGUGAUUGGUUGACACUUUUUAAGACUAUUACAUAUUAUAAAAGUUUAAAAAGUUUGAUUUUUACCAAUCACACUUUUUAAUUUAAAAAUCCUAAAUGUUCUCCUUAGUUUUUUGUUAUGGUCAUUUUUCAACUUUCUUAAGCCAAUGAUUCAUGAUUUUGAUUAUUUAAAAGUUAAAAUUUAUUACUAUUUGUUAGUAAAUUUCUUUACAUCAACUUUUUAUAAAGUGAAAGUCUGAACACUAUAUUAUAACAGUGCAUACCAAAACAAAACAAUGAAAUAUGCAAAUAAGAAGCAUGAGUAAGAUCAGUAAAUUUUAUUUUUGGUAGAAAUAUAUAUUACUCUUCCGAAGAUAAAAUAUCGAGUUAACAUGUUAAAAAUAAAAAUAAAAAAAUAGAUUAGAGAGGUCCUACAUAAUUAUAUAUAUGAAUCUCUACAUUAGAUGAGUACAACAACCAACCACUCCGUCCCACUAUAGUCUAUCGCAUUUACAUUUACAUAAACAACACUUUAAUUUCCCUUCUCUAUAUAAACACUCACUCCCCUCAUCACUCUCUUCAUCAUCUAUCACUUAGACACAUCUCCUUUUUUUGAAACCAAACAAAAACCCUCUUUAACUAAGAGAUCAAAUAUGGCCGGAGUGAUGAAGUUGGCAUGCUUGGUCUUGGCCUGCAUGAUUGUGGCCGGUCCAAUGGCAGCUAACGCAGCUCUGAGUUGUGGCGCUGUUAACAGCAACUUGGCACCGUGCAUUGGCUACCUGAUCCAAGGUGGUAUCAUUCCCGUAGGAUGCUGCAACGGCGUAAGAAACCUUAACAGCAUAGCCCGUACGACCCCAGACCGUCAGCAAGCAUGCACUUGCAUUCAAAAUGCCGCUAGAGGCCUAGGCUCUGGUCUCAACGCUGGCCGU